AUGGCGCUCUCCCGCCGCCUUCUCCUAUUCCUCUCCCUCGUCGCCAUCACGGCGGGCACCGGCACCUCCGCGAUGAUCGUGACAAGGUGCUAUCCGCCGCCGACGCCCACUGUCAACGGCAGCACCAGCGCGUUCUUCCGCCGCGAUCUCCUCUCGCUACUCGACGCCCUCCCCUCGGUCGCCGCGUGGACGGGCUUCGCCUCCAUGCGGACCGGCGGCUCGUUCGCCCGCGGCCUCUGCUUCGGCGACCCCGCGCCGGACUCGUGCUUCCGCUGCCUGUCCGACGUCGGCAGGAAGAUCACCGACCUGUACGACGACGCUAGCCGGCGCGCGGGCUUCCUGAAUGACGGCUGCUUCCUGGGCUACGCCGACACCAACGCGUCCUCCGCAGGCGCUGACGACAACGCCAUCAGUGGCGUGACAUUCUCCGGCCACACCAUCCCGCGCGUCGACGCCGGCGACGCGCUGAAGCUCGUGGCCGUGGCGCGGUCCUUGGUCCCGCGGUCCGUGAACGGCCAGGUGGCAGCCGCCGACGCGACGUCUACGGCGAGCAACGGCGACACGGUGCGCGUGCUGGCACAGUGCGCCACGGACCGCGCCCCAGCGGAGUGCGCCCGGUGCCUGCAGGACUCAUCGCUGCAGAUGGCCAGGAGCUGGGGGCUCACGCGCAGCGCCAGCACCGUGCAGGCGGUUCUCGGCUCGAACUGCUACCUCCGCUUCGAGAUAUCAUCACCGCCCCUGGGAGAGAAGAUUCGGAGGAUCGUAAAGGGUCACAUCGUCCUGACUGUGUGCAUUGGCUUCAUCGUCGCUGUAGCCGUAGCCGUGCUGGUGGUGGUGAGAAGAAAGGCCGGGAAUACAACAGCAACAGCAUCAGCGGCGGAAGGGAAGCAAUGA
RNAcentral lists this ribosomal RNA (894 nucleotides) under Triticum aestivum (bread wheat). Its description in RNAcentral is "partial small subunit ribosomal RNA". Lineage: Eukaryota; Viridiplantae; Streptophyta; Magnoliopsida; Poales; Poaceae. The record is from RNAcentral.